AGAAUGAACGCUGGCGGCGUGCUUAACACAUGCAAGUCGAGCGAGGCCAGGGGGGCAACUCCCUGAGUCGAGCGGCGGACGGGUGAGUAACACGUGGGUAACCUACCCGGAAGUGGGGAAUACCUCGGGGAAACUCGAGCUAAUACCGCAUAACAUCUUGGACGAAAGUUCUGACGAUCAAAGCGGGGUCGCAAGAUCUCGCGCUACCGGAUGGGCCCGCGCCCGAUUAGCUAGUUGGUGAGGUAAUGGCUCACCAAGGCGACGAUC
This 267-nucleotide ribosomal RNA is filed under the name uncultured bacterium. RNAcentral's name for it is "partial small subunit ribosomal RNA". It matches the Rfam family "Bacterial small subunit ribosomal RNA", at positions 26 to 281 of the family's 1533-position model. The record is from RNAcentral.